CUCCCAUGGAGACCACACUGCCCUUGCCCGACAAGGCAGCUAUGUCCGUCCGGCGUCCGUAGGAGCGCCGGCCAGCCUGUCCCCAGAGCCCCACCCCACAGCCUGCCUUUGGCCAGGCCCGCUCUCUGGUCGCCUACUGGGGGCUACAUGUCCUACAUCUUUACAUUCAUAGCGACAACACAGGUCAACUCGACAGAAAGAAAACCGGUCCCCAAGGCCACGCCCGGCUCCCGGACCCCACAAGGAGAGUGGCCACCACACCCGAAGCUCCUCAACACCAGCUAGCAGUCCCCUCCAGGACACGUGGAAGCUGCUGGACCUGGGAUCCAGCCCCUCCGGCCUCACCUCCCAGGACGACUCUGAGCCAGGUCCAGCCACC
This 379-nucleotide long non-coding RNA is filed under the name Canis lupus familiaris (dog). Its description in RNAcentral is "lncRNA (ENSCAFG00000057099.1)". Lineage: Eukaryota; Metazoa; Chordata; Mammalia; Carnivora; Canidae. The record is from RNAcentral.